RNAcentral lists this non-coding RNA (31 nucleotides) under Rattus norvegicus (Norway rat). The record is from RNAcentral. Lineage: Eukaryota; Metazoa; Chordata; Mammalia; Rodentia; Muridae.
UGGUGGCUGUAUGUAUAUGAGCUGGAUCCCA